ACGAACGCUGGCGGCGUGCUUAACACAUGCAAGUCGAACGGAAAGGCCCUGCUUUUGUGGGGUGCUCGAGUGGCGAACGGGUGAGUAACACGUGAGUAACCUGCCCUUGACUUUGGGAUAACUUCAGGAAACUGGGGCUAAUACCGGAUAGGAGCUCCUGCUGCAUGGUGGGGGUUGGAAAGUUUCGGCGGUUGGGGAUGGACUCGCGGCUUAUCAGCUUGUUGGUGGGGUAGUGGCUUACCAAGGCUUUGACGGGUAGCCGGCCUGAGAGGGUGACCGGCCACAUUGGGACUGAGAUACGGCCCAGACUCCUACGGGAGGCAGCAGUGGGGAAUAUUGCACAAUGGGCGGAAGCCUGAUGCAGCAACGCCGCGUGCGGGAUGACGGCCUUCGGGUUGUAAACCGCUUUCGCCUGUGACGAAGCGUGAGUGACGGUAAUGGGUAAAGAAGCACCGGCUACUACGUG
RNAcentral lists this ribosomal RNA (466 nucleotides) under uncultured bacterium. RNAcentral describes it as "partial 16S ribosomal RNA". It matches the Rfam family "Bacterial small subunit ribosomal RNA", at positions 29 to 507 of the family's 1533-position model. The record is from RNAcentral.